UAUAUUAUUUUCUUUUCUUAUCACAGGAAAGUUGCAUAGUGUAGCAAAGCAGUUGCAGGAUGCCUUUCCCUGGUUGCUGCCAGUUGCCUGUGCUGCCCAUCACCUGGCCCUGGCAUGUAGAGAUGCCUCAUCUCAGGUUCCUUACAUGGCUACCUUUAUGGACCACCUAGUAGCUCCACUUAUACUUCCAUAACAGUGCCAACAGAGCUGCUGUUCUGAAAAGCUGCAGCAGAGUCCUUGGGCCUUAAGGACUUAAAAGUAAAGGAUAUGGACAAAGUGACUGCAAUGGGAAAACUGUCAUCCCAGAAUAACAAAUGGGCACAGCUGUAUCCUUUAAUGAGCAAGCUGGCAGCCAUUGCCCUGACAGUUCCCAUCUCCAGUGUAAACUGUGAGAGGGAUUUUUCAACAAUGAACAUGGUGAAGUCUGACUUGAGAAACAGACUGCAGGGGGAUCACCUUGCAGCAUGUAUGCUGCCGAGCAUCAGCGGGCCACCUCUCAAGAAUUUCCGGCCAGAGCCUUACAGCUCUUCUAUAAAAAACCCAGAAAAAUUCAUUGUUCUGAGCCUGGGUGCAAACUUUGCCACUGAUUCUACAGCUCCACCAAGAAAUUAUUAUAUAUUGUUUUAUUUUUUUAUCAUUGUAUUUUUGUUAUUAUUUUUUAUUGUUACAUUCAGCCU
Acanthopagrus latus (yellowfin seabream) is the source of this 677-nucleotide long non-coding RNA. RefSeq lists it as uncharacterized. Lineage: Eukaryota; Metazoa; Chordata; Actinopteri; Spariformes; Sparidae. The transcript is spliced from 3 exons. The record is from RefSeq and is a predicted model, not a curated record.